Molecule: long non-coding RNA, 19318 nt
Filed under: Setaria italica (foxtail millet)
Lineage: Eukaryota; Viridiplantae; Streptophyta; Magnoliopsida; Poales; Poaceae
Description: long non-coding RNA (SITA_LNC006165)
Source: RNAcentral
GAUAUAUCAGUUUGGAAAAUGAUUAGAUGUGCUUUGCCUGAUAAUGAUGUUGGAUACACUAUUAUUACAACCACCCGUAUUUCUCAUGUUGCUGAACAAGCUGGGGGUGCUUACAACAUGAAACCUCUUUCUUUGAAUAACUCCCGAAAACUACUAUAUAGAAGAAUAUUUGGUAGUGGGAAUAAAGACAACAAUGAAACAGAAGAAAAAUGUCAUAAGGAGAUGGCCGAAGUAUCUGACAGAAUACUGAAAAAAUGUGCUGGUGUGCCAUUGGCUAUAAUUACGAUGGCUAGUUUACUAGCUUGCAAAGCAAGAAAUAAAAUGGAGUGGUAUGAGGUGUACAAUUCUGUUGGUACUGGUCUGGAAAACAAUCUAGAUGUGGAGAAUAUGAGAAAGAUUUUAUCAUUUAGCUAUUAUGAGCUACCAUGCUAUUUAAGGGCUUGUUUGUUAUAUUUGAGCAUGUUUCCUGAAGAUUAUGAAAUUGGGAAGGAUCGUUUGAUAAGGAUGUGGAUAGGUGAAGGUUUUAUCCAAUGUGAAAAAGUAGGGAAGAGCCUAUUUGAACUCGGAGAGAGUUAUUUUAAUGAGCUUAUAAACAGAAGCAUGAUCCAACCAAUAUAUGAUAGUAAAAAUGAUAUGAUAUCAAGCUGUCGUGUACAUGAUAUGGUGCUUGAUCUUAUCCGCUCCUUGUCAAGUGAAGAAAACUUUGUUACUAUACUAAGUAAUAUGGGAGGCACAUCUCCAUCAAAUACGAUUCGGAGGUUGUCCCUUCAGAAUGGUCAGGAAAGUCAUGUGAUGGCUCAAGCUACAUGGAGCUUGCAACAUACAAGGUCAGUUUUUGUCUUUCCAACUUCUAUUUCUCCAGUGCUACCUCUUGACUACUGCCGAGUUUUACGUGUUCUGGAUUUAGAAGGCUGCAAUCUUUCACAAGCUAAUAGUAUCCUUAAGUGCCUUGGGAAUAUACAUCACUUGAGGUACUUGGGACUUCGUCGGACAGGUAUUUCUCAGCUCCCAGAAGAAAUAGGAAACCUGCAGUUUCUACAAAUAUUGGAUGUAAGGCGCAACAAUAUUUUCAGGUUGGCUUCGAGAGUUGUCCAGCUAAGAAAGUUGAUGUACCUAUACAUUGACCGGUCUACAACAGUUCCAAACGGAAUUGGAAAUCUGACAUGCCUUGAACAGCUGUCAUGGUUACGCAUUAAUGACUCCACUAGAAACAUUAUACAAGAGUUGGGCCAGCUAACUGAACUGAGGCAGUUGUCCAUUGAAUUGGACAAGUGGAACGACAAGCUGUUGGAGUGCCUAUGCAAGCUACAAAAGAUGCAGGAACUAGUUAUCACGGUCCGUCAUGGUCAACGCAGCAUCGGCAGAUUGGAUGCUUGGGUCGCCCCUCGACAUCUCCGCGUAUUUCAAUCACCAGACAACUGUUGGUUUUCAACACUGCCAGCUUGGGUGAAUCCAUCGCUUCUUCCGGACCUGACCUUCCUAUCCAUCGACGUGAGGGAGCUACAUCAGGUUGAUCUCGAAAUCCUCGGGAGGUUGCCAGCUCUCCGCUUUCUUUCUCUGAAGAUGGACAACAAGAACCUUGGUAUCCUUGCAGGAUUCGUUGUUGGUGCUGGUGCAUUCCCGUGCCUUGUAACCUGUUACUUCUGUCAAUUUGUGUGGCCAGUGGUAUUUCAACAGGGAGCUAUGCCAAGGGUCAGAGAGCUUGUGAUCUGGCGGUUUUAUCUGCGGGAGGCAAGAGGAAUUGCCUGCACCGAUGGUAGUCUCGACUUGGGCAUGGGAAACCUGCCGUCGCUGCAAUAUGUCAAGGCUGACCUGCGAUGUGAUGGUGCUGGCAAGGAGGAGGCAGAGCAAGCCAAGGCUGCGCUGACGCAUGCAGCUCAAAUGCAUCCCAAUCAUCCCUUACAUUUGAUCCAUAUUACAGGUGCGCCAGCUCCUGAUUGUUAUUCCUUACUUCUCUCCUUCCCCUUUCUUCUAAACUGUAUUUGCGUUUAUUCCUCUGUUUGAGAUGGUCGAUCUCCAGCUGAUCUUUCACCACGCCUUUCUUCUAGCCCCUAUGCCUCAACUCUUCUAAUCUUCCUUUGGUAUAUUUCGGUCUGAUAUACAGAUCACGACUACUAUAAGACACUAUGCCGGAAGCUGGACCGGAGCAGAGCAGAUGUUUCGCCACGCAUGCAGAGGUUAAACUGCUCGGCCUUAGCUUUACCAGACACCCUCAACCUGCGAGUAAACAAUGAAUACUGCACACAUGCGUCUGUGACUUAGAGCUUUGAUCAUUUGUGCUGUAAUCCCUGACUAACUUCCCCCUCUGUUACAACUUACAAGAACUGUAAAGAAAAAAUAGAAACGCAGUUAACAUCACAUACAAUGAAUCACAUCCCAUCAACAGAUAUUUGUCUAAGCUUCUCUUCAUCUCCACUACGGCAUUGCACCCCGCAGCCUUCUACACACGACGUCUAUGUUUUUUGUCGUGUGAUUCUAUAAUGGAUGAAGAACUGGUUACAGGUGAUCCUCGGAAGGUCACUUGACCUUUUCCUUAAGGCCCGUCGAAUGAAUUUGUCCGCGUGCUCCCUCGACCACGCGUCCACGUCCAUCCCGGCCGGCGAUCACCAGUCAUAAUAAGCUGAUUAGGCUGAUAGCUAUAUGAUUGAAGCAGCGGCAGCACAAACUCGGGUGUGGGACGGACUCUGUUAUCGAGCGUCAAGCAUCAUCGUUUACAUGUUGUUCAGAAUUCAGUCAUAUGGUUCAGUUCACUUCUUGGUUGUCAGGUAUUUCAGGGAGCCAAAAGCUGACUAGACUCACUGAUGAAACAUGCAUGCAUAGUGCCAUUGGUUCACUGAUAGAGAACUCACCUUCCAUGCGCUCCCUUUUAUCCCGGUUUAAAGUUGAUCCGGGACAAAGGGGGACGCCAUGGUAGGUUCAAAUGGGGCGGAGCUUUAGUUCCGGUUGGUAUUUUCAACCAGGACUAAAGCUCCCCUUUCCUUUAGUCCCGGUUGUAACGGCUAGUUACCAACCACCGAUGGCGCCCCCCUUUUAUCCUAGUUGGCUUCCAACCGGGACAAAAGUGCCACCCUUUUGUCCCGGUUGGAGUUACCAACCGGAACAUUCCAACGGGGAUAAAAGGGUGAAGCUUUUAUCCCGGUUGGAAGCUCCAACCGAGAUAAAAACUCAUCCCCUAUAAAAUCGCAAGACAGAGACCUUUCUUCCUCCUCCAUCCCGAGCCACUCCACUCCACAAAGACAAAGGGCUCAUCCUGUCCAUGGCGCCGAAGCAAGCCUAGGGGAGGUGCUGCCGAAUUUUUCUCGAAGCAAUGGAUGUAUAACGUGGACAGAUGGAGCAUGAAGUUUGUUGAUGGCUUGCAUUAUUUUCUCGAAGUGGUCAAAACGAACAAGCCAGAGAACGGGUUCAUAUGUUUUCCAUGCUUCCAAUGUAGUAACAAGGACUUUUACAUGCACUUGUUUAGAUACAGUUUCAUGCCUAACUAUUUGGUUUGGACCAAGCAUGGCGAAAGAAGGGUUGUAAUUGAAGAUGACAUUCCAGACUGGGCUGCAGGCCAAACUUUUGCAGAUACUACAAUAGGCGAGGUUGAUGAAGAUAAGUUUGCAGAAGACGGCCCUACUGAUGUCACACCAGAUUUUAAGGACAAAGUUAAGUGCAUUAAAUACAUGUGCGCCAGGAUCAAGUUACACACAUAUACGACAUAAGUGAAUAACAAAGACAGUGCCAUAACGAAAUAAAGAGAGUAUUAACCAUUAUUACAUGAUAAGUUACACACAUAUACGACAUAAGUGAAUAACAAAGACAGUGCCAUAACGAAAUAAAGAGAGUAUUAACCAUUAUUACAUGAUCGAAAGUCUCAAAUAAACUACAAAGUUUAAUUAUUACGCAGCGGAAGUCCAAAAGUAGCGACGGCUCCACAGGCAGCUGACUGAAGAACUAUACGCCUAGAACUCCUCGAAGUCUGGAAACUCCUCCAGAUUCACUUGGUCUGAACAGUGGUUUUGCAACGGUGAGUACACUUAUGGUUGGUAGUCAACAAGUCGUGGAGAACAGUGUAGUGUAAGGCUACCCAAGGUAUGUCUAAGGCAUAAUCAGCAUUAGCUUUUAAAUUAGUUGGUCAAGUUUUAGUAGCAUUUAACUAAGUGUAAGUUUAUACCACCCAAAAUGAAACAAGAACAUGAAUAAAAUAAUAACAUAACCAUAAAUGAAACAACAACAAUUUAAGUCCAUCAUUCGAUAAUAUUAUCAUGUGAGGGUUCAAGCCGCUCUUAACUAUGAGCACGGCUGAUCGAUCAGUUUUACACUCUGCAGAUGUUGCACAACUUUACCCACCUGUCGUGUAAAAGUUAAAAAGAACUUUGGACACAACCAUGCGGUGUCUGCAAGGCACCAUACCACACUUCCGAGGUGUGAUUGCAUAGGGACGCUACGAGGCCUUUACAAAGAUUCGCUAAUAAAAAGUAGCCCGCUAAGAUUUCCCCCCUAAUUUGCAACUGAAUUGCCUACCACUAUUAUUUAAAAAACUUAAAGUAACCCCUUAAUUUUGCAUCUAUAUUACCCACACAUGCCAUUAUUAAAAAUAACAUAAGGUAACCCUAUGUUUGAAUCAAAUAACCUUAAUUAAAAUAUACAGUAAUAUAUGAUUCUAAAUCAUCUAUAUCUUGCACUAUUGGUAUACGAUAUAAUAAUUAAGGUCUAUACACAUGAUGUGUGUCACCAUUUAUAAGGAUAUAUAAAGUGAUGAGAGUAUAGAUUUCUAUGCUAAAAUUGUAUCUCAAACUUAGGGUUCAUUAAACAAAUUUAAGCGCAUACCUGCGAUGCAAAGUGAAAAGUUAAAUAUUAUAAAUGUGGAUAAAAAUAUUAUAGAGUAAUUACUAACUAAAAUCUAUCACAAUUGGAUGAAGAUAUUAAGUAUAUAUCUCCAUAAGUAUUGUGUUCUAAUAUUUAACAAACGAGACAUAGCUUAUGGUAAUAGUUUUGUAGCAAUGUAGUCUCAUUUUUUUUCCAUUAGAGACUCUGCAUUAGUUCCCACAACACAAGCUAUAAAAAAGAGACAAAUUCUCAUAAAAAUUAAAAACAUCAAACACUAAUCAUUUAAACUCUAAUAAUCAUAGCCAUUGAUGUAUUAUAUUUUUUAAAAAGUUACCCACCACUGUCAUUGUGAAAAUAUUUAAAAAUAAGCUCUAAACCUAUUUUUAAUUUACCAAGCUUAGCUAUUAUAAAAAAUAAUUUAAAUAACCCCAUAAUCUUCAUCCAAUUUACUAAUACACAUCAUUAUAAAGAAUAACUUAAAAUGUCAUUCUAAAAUUUUAUCUAUGUUACCCGUGUAUGUCGUUAUUAAAAAUAACCUCAAGUAAACACCUAAAUCUUAAUCUAAUUAUCUUCAUGUGCAUCAUACAGAAAUAUCGAAAAGUAAACUAAUAUAUGAUUCUAAAUUAUCUAUUUAUGUCAUUGCAAUAUAAAAUACUAAGUUAAAGUAUAUACACAUGAUGAGUGCCACCGUUUAGACCAUUUAUACAUGUAUGUGAGGAAUCAAUAAAAAAUAUUGAUUUGUAUGCUAAACAUAAUGUAUGGAGGAUUGGAGGUGAGAUACAAAAUGGAAAAUGUAUGAAUAUGGAUGAAAAAAUCAAUCAGAACUGGACAAAGAUAGUUACAUAUCUAUAUAAGUAUUAUGUUGAAGUAUUAAAAAUAAGAGAGUAGUAGGUAAACAAUUUUGAUUAUUAGCUAGGAAUUUAAUUUCUAAAUAAUUUUCAAAUACAAUAGCUUCUAAAAAUAUUAGCCCGUACGGGAGCAUGGGUUGAUGGACUAGUAAUUUCUAAUAGCUAGGGUAAAAUACCAAAACACAAAAAAAUGAAAUUGUUUUCAAGAUUGGUCGACUUUUCUGUGAAUCAUUAUAUUACACGUGCCAUGUGUUUCUUCUCAGCGUGGUCUCAUGAUUUUCGACAAGCUAAACCUUACAGGUGGUCUUUUCUUAUUUCGUGUCAUAAAAAAGAAAAUAAAGAUAACGCAAGAAAAUGGAAUUAAUUCCAAGAUCGGUUGAAUUUUGUGUGAAUCAUUUACAUGCACAGAUGUGCCAUGCGUUUCUUCUUCUCAGUAACAUGGUGAUCUUCUGAUCGCUGGAGGGAUUCCUUGCUGCGUGUACACACAACACAAGACCACCAGUUCACGCAGUCACCAUUGCCAUUAGCUUGGUUCACCAGUUCACGCAUGCGCGCAACUGAUGGUGCAGGAUGACCAAGGAGGCAUGGUUUACUAGUUGCUGGGUCUUUCUUUGGGAUUUCAAACUUCAAACUACUUUUUCUCCCAAAUCAAAAAUUUAUUUUUGAAUCCGUUUGUAACACCCAAAAUUUUAGAGAAUUCAAAUUCAUUAAAACUUGCUCAAAAUAGGGUGUCAUUUAAAUUCUAGGCAUUUAAUUUCAUUUUCUUUAAUUUAAUUAAUUCAUCGUAGGAGUUAUUUGGGUGUGACACAAGGCUAUUAUAUAUACUCCCAAAGUCUUGGAUGUCACUGAGUAACAUGUAUUUCUCUUGCAAGCAGCUGUGCACAUUAGCCAGAGAACUCUGAAGUGUUGGAGGAAACCAAAUUACUAUGAUGAGUCUUGACUUGUGUAGCCAAAUGCAUCCGCCGUAACUCGGCAAGCUUGAUGGCCAUCUUCCGCCCGUUUAAAUCAUUUUUUCGCAAUUAUCUACUCUCAGCAGAGUAAACAAACCUGUUUAGCCCACAAACACUUCUACAUACGAUGGUACGUGUCAUUAUGGCGGGUGCCUUUUAUUGUAUCUAAAGUUGCAUUAAACAACGGCACCAAGCCCAUGGUAUCUAAUUGGUGCCGGCGGGUAUGAUGGAUUUCUGGUCUCACGGCUUGACGAAUAAACUGGAGGAGAAACCCGCCAUUAAGCAUUUACUCCUGCUUGUAUGGUUUGGUUAAGUUUUAGAUGCCGGUUCUUACGGAUAGGAGGGAUUCAUACUCACAUUCCUGAGGUGCUCUGAUAUCUUCAUAGGAUAAUGUUAAAUGUUACAACAUUGCAUCGAAAAUGAAGAUUUGAUGAGCGCAAGUAUGGAUGCACAUUUUCUUUUUAGAAACUAAGCAUUGCAUGUGGCGUUUUCUUGUUUCCUGUCAUAAAAAAGAAAAUAAAAAUAACAAGACAAAUUGAAAUUAAUUUCAAGAACAUUCGAAUUUUGCGUGAAUCAUCAUGUUUCACGGUCCAUGUGCUCGCAUGAUUUUUACGUGAAUUGGCAGCAUAAUUUCUAUAUAAUAGCUAGGGUAAAAUACCAAAACACGGAAAAAUGAAAUUGAUUUCAAGAUUAGUCAACUUUUCUGUGAAUCAUUAUAUUACACGUGCCAUGUGUUUCUUCGCAGCGUGGUCUCAUGAUUUUCGACAAGCUAAACCUUACAUGUGGUCUUUUCUGAUAUCGUCUCAUGAUCUAUUUUCCAUUCCGGCGGUCUGUGUGCACGGACUUCGCUGGAAGAGCAGGCCUCCGAAGCUGCGUCCUUCACCAGAGACUCUACACCCGAGGAGUAGAAGGCCGAUCAAGUUUUUAGGGAGCGCGUCUGUGUCACUGCUCAUCGUUCGUCUACGACUACUUCCUAGAGGUACAAUUGCACUGCAAACAUCUGCACGGCAUCGAGUUCUGAUCGACUACAUCGAAUAAGCUCAACUAGCAAUGUUGGGUAAUGGCGCAUCUGGUUCCUCAGGAACUGGCUCCGCCUCAGGGUACUUCCUUAUGAACUUCUUGGUUUAAUUCUUACAGUUCAUAGUAUCCAUUGCAUGCUUUAUGUUCACUGCAAAUAAAAUAGUAUGCUAUCUUUAUUGUCAUGUUUCAUUUUAUAUUCGGAUUAAACUGAACCGCAAAUUGUCUCUAAUUCCAACAUUGGCAGCAUAAUUUCUAAUAACUAGGGUAAAAUACCAAAACACGAAAAAAUGAAAUUGAUUUGAAGAUUUGUUACUUUUCUGUGAAUCAAUUACACGUGCCAUGUGUUUCUUCUCAGCGUGGUCUCAUGAUUUUCAAAAAGCUAAACCUUACAGGUGGUCUUUUCUUAUUUCGUGUCUAAAAAAGAAAAUAAAGAUAACCCAAGAAAAUGGAAUUAAUUCCAAGAUCGGUUGACUUUUGUGUGAAUCAUUUACAUGCACAGAUGUGCCAUGCAUGCGUUUCUUCUUCUCAGUAACAUGGUGAUCUUAUGAUCGCUGGAGGCACUACCGGAAACAGUAAGGUUGCCGAGUGUCUGAGGCACUCGGCAAAGGCCGAAAAACUCUCGGCAAAGAGUUCGCCGAGUGUAACACUCGGCGAACGGCACUUGGCGAACUUUCCUACGGCAAACGUGGAGUUGCCGAGUGUCGAACAUCGAGCACUCGGCAAAUAAUUUGCCGAGUGUCAAAAAGCACUCGGCAAACAUUUUCGGAAAAAAAAAAACCGCCGGCCGUCGGCCGCCGGCCACGGCCACGGCCACCACGCCGCCACCGGCUGCCUACGCCGCUGCCGCCCGCCCGCCGCCGCCCGCCCGCCGCCGCCCGCCCGCCGCCGCCCGCCGCCACGCGCCAGAUCCGGAGGGGAGAGAGGUGGGGGCCGCCGGAUCCGCGCCGGAGGGGAAGAAGGGGGCGCGGAUCCGGCCGGUGGGGAGUGAGCCGAGGAAGGAGAGGCCGGAUCCGGAGGGGAAGAAGGGGGCGGCGGCGGGCGGGGGCGGGGGCGGGGGCGGACGCCGGGCGGCGGUGGGGCCGGGGGCCGGGCACCGGGCGGCGGGGCGGGGGGCGCCGGGCGGCGGGCCGGGGAGCGCCGGGGGCGGGGGGAGAGAGCAAGAUCUGAGGAGGAGAUAGUGGCGGAAGAGAUAAGGCCGGUGCGGUGCGGGCCGGGAUAAGGCCGGCUUGCGGUUGGAAAAAAAAAACGGUCGCCGAGUGUCCUAGGGUGACACUAGGUGAACGGUUGUUUGCCGAGUGUCUACCCUAGGACACUCGGCAAAGAUAUUUUAAAAAAAAUUUAAAAAAUAUCUAACAGUUUUAAAAAAUUGUCAAAAAUUUACAUGAAAUAAUAUAUAUUCUCUAUUAACUAUACAAAAAGUUUUGUAGUCAAAUCAAAACUCAACCGUCAUUUUGACUCCAAAUCUUAUGCAAUCCUUGUCAACGUUACUAUUCUUCUUCUGAAAUGCUUCGGUUUGUAAACAUCGUACGUAAUGAAAUAUGCAAAACAUUCUCAAUUUUUUUUCCACAGCCUCCACCUAUGAUAUUAUCACAUCAUGACAAAUCUCAUGAUUUUCAGACUUUGCUUGUUUUUUUAUAAUUUAAAAAUACCACUGCCACACGUUCGUGGUCGUGUUUCCUGAACAAGAUGUUCGAAAUUUCUUGUCAUUUCAUGGGUCAGGUCUCAAAUUGGGCCGAAUAACAUGAAUAUCAUUUUUCUACUCAUUUUGUUCCAUAAUUUCAAUCAAUUGCAGUUCAAAUUUGACUUAUACCAAAAAUUUCCUUGAAAUGCAAUUAAUUAAAUAAAUAUAGCAAAUAAAUCCAAAAAUAUACCAAAUUUUAACAUGGAGUACCACAUGUUGUAUGUGGGGAGUAGAAAAAAUUUCAUGGUGAAAAGAGGAAAAAAAUUAUUUUUUUGCCGAGUGUCAAAAAAAACACUAGGCAAACCCCCCCUAUUUGCCGAGUGUUUUUUUGACACUCGGCAAACCCCUCUCUUUGCCGAGUGUUUUUUUUGACACUCGGCAAAGAGGGGGGUUUGCCGAGUGUCAAAAAUAUACUCCGCAUAAAGCGGGGUUUGCCUAAUGUUUUAUUAAAAACUCGGCAAAAAAUAGAUUUUGACCUGGCCGGGGAGUUUUUAUUUGCCACUCGGCAAAGCCCCAAUUUCCCGAGUGUAUUUUUUUUCCCGAGUGUUUUUGAGCUUGGCACUCGACAAAGAGCUUGUUUGCCGAGUGCUCGCAAAAAAACACUCGGCAAAAAAAAUACACUCGGCAAUUUUUAGCUUUCCCGUAGUGAGGGAUUCCUUGCUGCGUGUACACACAACACAAGACCACCAGUUCACGCAGUCACCAUUGCCAUUAGCGCCGUCCUUUGCGACGUGAACGCAAGACAGGGUGAUCAUGACUCAUAAGGAGGGUCAGGGUCACGGAUGUUAGUUGUAGACUUACCCACCACGUUGACGACGAAGAAUCCUUUUAAUUAUUCCAGGGUGGCAACUGGCAAAGCCCGACGAGGCUUACUAAAGCAUCCGUGUGUAUACCAUCAGUUAAUCUCAUUUCUCAAUUUCCUUCAGGUCACAUGACGUUGGCACCCGGUAAAAUGAAACACUGAUGCAUCGUGAAAAGAGCUCAUGGUUCCGGAAUGAGCAGUUUGUUGGAUGACUUGCACUGCUUACAAGAGUGUUAUGAAUAAACACUCCCAUGCCUUGGAUGCCAUUCAAAAUGUUACCAAACAUAUGUAGAGUAACCUGCGUUUCUCUUUCAAGCAGCUAUUUAUGAAGUAUUGGAGGAAACCAAAUUACAUGCUUUCACUUGUGUAGCUGAAUGCAUCCAUGACAAUUCGACGAGUCAUAUUAGCAUAUUCUUCCUUACUUCCUUACUCUGCCCUAUUGAAAUAUUUCUCUCACAGUCUGCUAAAAAAUUAGGGCCAACAAACACUUCUAUAUAAGAUGGCGCGAGCCAUAACAGUUGGUGUGGUAACUGUAUCAAAGCUUGCACUAAACGCUGGAAUUUGGCCCAUGGUGCUAAUAGUAUACAUGAUCGUGACGGGUACGGAUGGUCAUGAUGUAUUUGAGAAAAGAGCGUCUGGUUCUUGCUGACUUCGAUCGAUGGCAUGAUCAAUGACAUGAUCAAGUUUGCUACCUAGCUGGAUCUGGAUAAGAGCACAUGUGUAAUGUGGUGGUGCGGCACCAAAGUGUGGUGCUCGUUGUCAACCAAGCCAUCAAUCAUGGUUUUUUUAAAAAAAAAUGUCGGAUACAAGAACUUUUGUAUCUGUCUGACCUUGUUCAUCUUCACUAGACAUCACAACCAGCUACACAUGCAAACUAGAUAAUGCAAUCUUCUAUAUUAUUACUAAUCAGACUCAUUUUGGAGCCUCCAUGUCAACACUCAUGAGAUGCGCUAGAAAAAAAAAGAUAAAUCCUUGAAAUUCACAUAAAAAUAAAAUAUAAAAUAUGAUCACGUUUAUACAUAUAUAGUGGCAUAAGUUUAGCCACUUCUUAGUUUUCUUCGCUUCAUGUCUCACACGACAUUGCUGGCACCAAGCAAACAGAACACUGAUGACUAAUAGAUGAACAUUGUAAAGUGAACUCACGAUCCGGAGUGCACUCAUGAUAGAUGAAGGAUGCAUGAACAGUUAUUGGACGACUUGCAGCAACGGUUACAUGCUUGCAAGCUAGAUAAAUACCAAAGACUGUCAUAUAUACUCUCAUUCCUUUGCUGCCGUUCAAAUGUUACACGGUAGUAUAGUAUUAAGAGAAACUUGUGUGCAGGAUCUUUUUUUUUUGCAACUUGUAAGAACUAAGAACUAUGAACUUUGUUUGAUCUGAUCUUUGGUCAACCAUCACCUUUGGUCUGAACUUUUUUACCGGCGGCAGCACAAACUUGGGAGGGACUCUGCGGCGGAGCAUCAACCAUCACCUUUGAUCUGAUCUUCAGAGUUCAGUCAUAUAUAUAGUUCAGUUAACUUAAUGGUUAUGAGUCUGAAGGAAAACCGCAAUUAUUUUACAUUUUGAUAUCGCCAAACUCCUGCCAAAUGCCUAAUCCCUUUCAAAUGAUGAUAAAUAUUUUCAUUUCAGGGCGGCAAAAUCUGAAGAGGCUCACUGUAUAUUGUACAUUAGUGCUACUAUCAGUUCAGCACCUUCUUCAUUUCCUUGAGGUCACACCACAUUAGUACCAGCAAUCAAAACACUUACGCAUCGUCAGAUCAACUCAUGGCUGGUGAAUGAUCCAUGAACAAUUGUUGGAUGACUUUGCAUCAACGGAUGCAUGCUUAUAUUACAAGCCAGAACCAUGCUCAAGACUGUCAUACUAUCAUAUAUAUACUCCUGUGGCUUGGAUGCCAUUCAAAAAUGCUGCAAGAGGUAGAGCAACUUGUAGUUCUCUGUCGAGGUGUAAACGAGCUGUGUAUAUUGGGAGGGACCUCUGAAAUAUUGGGUUGACUACCGGAAACAGGAAAGUUACCGAGUGUAAAAUCUUUACCGAGUACUUUUUGUCGGGCACUUGGCAAACACCUCGUUUGCCGAGUGUAUAGGCGCGGACACUCGGCAUACACAAUGCACUCGGCAAACAACAGAUUUGCUGAGUGUCGUGGAAAACACACUUGGCAAAAAUCCAACCGACACUCGGCAACAAUUUGACACUCGGUAACUCUCCAGCACGUGGAUCGCACGUGCGCCGUCCGUUAGGGCAGUGUGCUGGCCAUUAGUACUUUGCGGAAUGUCCGUUACCGACACUCGGCAAAGUUAGAGGUUGCCGAGUGCUUCCUCUAGACACUCAGCAAACUUAGAGUUUUGCCGAGUGUUUUCCACCGCCACUUGGCAAACAUAGAGUUUUGCCGAGUGUUUCUGUUGGCACUCGGCAAAGACAAAACUUUCUUUUUCACAUCUGCCCUCCACACUUUUUCUACUCCUCGCAUACGACAUUUGGUACUGCAUGUUAAAAGUUGGUCUAUUUUUUGGUUUGUUUGCUAUUUUUAAUGAAUUAAUAUCAAUAAUAGGAAUUUGUUGAUUUAAGUCAAAUUUAACUGCAAGUGAUUGAAAUAAUGGAAUAAAAUUAGUGAAAAAAUCAUAUUCAUGUUAUUGAAUCCGGAUUGAGGUCUCAAUCAGGAAAUGAAAAGAAAUUUUGAACAUUUAUUUUAGAAAACAUUACCACGAACGUGUGGUUGAAUGGUUUUUAAAUUCUAAAAAAAGCAAACGAAGUGUGAAAAUUACAAGAUUUGUCAAGAUGAAGCUACUCCUGUGAGUCACUUUUCAACCAUACAAUCAAUUUAUAAUUAAACUAGAAAGUACGGGUACUAGAAACUUAUAAUAGAAAAGUGACUAAUGCAAUCUCUUUAACUUUGUGCAGAAUCAAUCGGCAGCAUCCAAUGCUUUCUUGGAGCCAUCAUCUUGGUCGCAGUGGUCACCUACACAUCCUCCUCAGUGACUUGUUUGAACGGCUAGUGUGUUAAGCAAACUUGUGAAUUACUUGUUUAGACUAGAACCUAUAUGUACUUGUGAAUGUUAUUUGUGUGCUUGUGAUGCUUGUGAUGCAAUCUAUAUGCCUGUGAUGCAAUUUAUAUGCAUGUGAUGCUUCUGUGGUUGUUAUUUGAGAGGGGUCCUUUAUAUGUAACGAAUCUGUUUUGCAGGUAGAGGAAGGACACUUUGCCGAGUGUUAACACUCGGCAAAGAGGUCAAUUUCUAUUAUUCUGGGACUACUUUGCCGAGUGUUUUUGUUACAACACUCGACAAGGCGCCAUAAAAUGCUGGCGGUAGCAGCUUCUUUGCCGAGUGCCUUGCCAACGACACUCGGCAAAGUUUAAAAGUUUGCCGAGUGUCAUGAGUACGGCACUCGGCAAAAUAUAAAUCUUCGCCGAGUGUCGAGUAGACAGCACUUGGCAACAUGGAAAUAUUCGUCGAGUGUCGGGGAGGAGGCACUCAGCAAAAUAUAAAUCUUUGCCGAGUGUUCUUCCGUCUGACACUCAGCAACAACUCCGUUACCGUGACAUUCCGUGAACACCUUUUUGCCGAGUGUUUGGUUUUGUCGAGUGUUUUUUGGCACUCGGCAAAGUCUUUGCCAAGUGCCUGACGUUUGACACUCGGUAAAGAUACUGUUUGCCGAGGAAAAAUUCGCCGAGUCCUUUUCGCCGAGUGUUACACUCGGCAAACGCUUUGCCGAGUGUUUUUAGGCUUUCGCCGAGUGCGUAGGGCACUCGGUAAACUUACUGUUUCCGUAGUGGUUAUUGGAGGUAACCAAAAUAUCAUCCUCAGCUUUGACCUGUGUGGCUUAGUUCAUUCUAGGUAACUCAGCGGGCGACGUGGGCAUAUGGCUGUGGUAUCUGGUACUUCCGCUUGUUCGGCCGUUUUAAUGGAUUCACGAUAAGUUAUCUUCUCAUGGUCUUUGUCGAGUACAACUGAUGUAAAACGUCUGACACAGUGUAUUGAAGCGGUCGAUCCUCUCUCAUUCUGAUUGAACUCUUGGAGAUAGCAUACCAGUAGCAAAAAUUCCUUCUUUUUCAAAUUGAACAGCAAAAACAAAAAUGAUACUGUGACAGAUAAAGGACUUUGCAGGAACAGAGAUAUCAUCUGUCGUUCAGUCGUGGAACCGACUCAUGAUAGAUAAAGGACAUUGCAGGAACAGAGAGGGACAGAGCCCGUCUCUGCUAACACUUGCCAACCUCUGUGCUUUGCGCUGGUCUUCUCUAGUUUAGCCAAUCUUUUUUUUUUUUGCCUGAUGCAAAACUGACUAAACUCUCGGUGAAAGAAAAAUUAAGGACUUCCACGAAGCAGGACUCUCUGGGCCUAGCACAGGCCUAAACACCAAGCUGCUGAGCCCAAAUUUAUUCCGCCAAUGUCUCCAUGAUGUGCUUCCUGGUUAGGGGUCAAGAACUGUCCUUUAUGACUUGAUCCGAUGCCUCGAUGGUGUGGUUAGCGACUUUUGCCUGACAGACUGAACUAUGUAUGAAGAGACUACAUUUUCUUUCUUUUUAAAAAUAAAAAGCUGGACUUCACAGGUGGCUUGGUUGUUGUGCCUGCGCGUAUUCCUUCGCUAGGCACCGAAUUUGCUUGCAUUCAUAGAGCUUUCACUUGUGUAGCUGAAUGCAUCCACAACGACUCGGCGAGGCAUGUGGGCAUAUUGUUCUUUACUUUUGCCUAUUCAAUCAUUUCUCUCACGAUCCACUACAAAAAUCAGAGUCAACAAGAUCGCAUGAGUGAUAAUAGCGGACAUGGUUGCUCUAUCAUAGAUUGCACUAAACACUGGAAUACGUCAUAUCUUACUAUUACUAAUUGGAGGCUCCUUUUGAAGCCUCCAGGUGAAGCCACCUAGGAUUCCUAGGUGGACACCCUAGAAAUCCUAAAAAUUCUCACAAAAAAGCAAAACAUCCAACCAUCAAUUGAUAUAUUCAAAUCAUCACAGCCAUUGGAUCUAUUAUGUUUUUAAAAAAAUUACCCACCUAUGCCAUUAUGAAAAUAGCCUAAAGUAACCCCCUAAAUCUAUAUAUAAAUUACCCACCUCUACCAUUAUAUAAAAUAAACUAAAGUAACCCCUUAAUCUUCAUCGAAAUUACCCACUUAUGACAUUAUAAAUAAUAUUUAAAAUAACUCCCUAAUUUGCAACUGAAUUGCCUACCACUAUUACUUAAAGUAACCCAUUAAAUUUGCAUCUAUAUUACCCACACAUGCCAUUAUUAAAAAUAGCAUGAGGUAACCCUACGUUUUAAUCAAAUAACCUUAAUUAAAAAUAUACAACAAUAUAUGAUUCUAAAUCGUCUAUAUCUUACACUAUUGGUAUACGAUAUAAUAAUUAAGGUCUUUACGUAUGAUGUGUGUCACCAUUUAUAAGGAUAUAAAGUGAUGAGAAUAUAAAUUUCUAUGCUAAAAUUGUAUCUCAAAAUUAGGGUUCAUUAAACAAAUUCUAGCGCAUAUCUGCGAUGCAAAGUGAAAAGUUAAAGAUUAUAAAUGUGGAUGAAAAUAUUAUAGAGUAAUUACUAACUAAAACCUAUCAUAAUUAGAUGAAGAUAUUAAGUAUAUAUCUACGUAAGUAUUAUGUUUGAAUAUGUAAGAAACGAGAGGUAGCUUAUGGUAAUAGUUUUGUAGCAAUGUAGUCUUAUUUUGUUCCAUUGGAGACUCUGCAUUAGUUCCCACGAGACAAGCUAGAAAAAAGAGAUCUAUUAUAUUUUAUAACCACGAGACAAGCUAGAAAAAAAGAGACAAAUUCUUAUAAAAAUUAAAAAACAUCAAACACCAAUUCUGUAAACUAUAAUAAUCAUAGCCAUUGAUCUAUUAUAUUUUCUAAAAAGUUACCCGACACUAUCAUUGUGAAAAUAUUCAAAAAUGAGCUCUAAACCUAUAUCUAAAUUAUCGAGCUCAGCUAUUAUAAAAAAUAAUCUAAAGUAACCCCAUAAUAUUCAUCCAAUUUGGUAAUACACAUCAUUAUAAAUCAUAACUUAAAAUGUCAUUCAAAAAUUUUAUUUAUGGUACCCACGAAUGUCGUUAUUAAAAAUAACCUAAAGUAAACACCUAAAUCUUAAUCUAAUUAUGUUCAUGUGCAUCAUACAGAAAUGUCAAAAAGUAAACUAAUAUAUGAUUCUAAAUUACCUAUUUAUGUCAUUGUUAAUAUAAAAAUACUAAGUUAAAGUAUAUACACAUGAUGAGUGCCACCAUUUGGACCAUUUAUGCAAGUAUGUGAGGAAUCAAUGAAAAAUAUUGAUUUGUAUGCUAAACAUAAUGUAUGGAGGAUUGGAGGUGUGAUACAAAAUAGAAAAAGUAUGAAUAUGGAUGAAAAAGUGCAUAGAGUAAUUAUUAAUUCAAAAUCAAUCACAACUGGAUAAAGAUAGGUAUAUAUCUAUAUAAGUAUUAUGUUGAAUUAUUGAAAAAUAAGAGAGCAGUAAUUAAACAAUUUGGAUUGUUAGCUAGAGUUUAAUUUCUAAAUAAUUUUUAAGUACAAUAGCUUUUAAAAAUAUUAGCCCGGGAGCACGGGUUGAUGGACUAGUGGUGCUAAUAGUAUACGUGUUUGUAACUGAUAUGGAUAGACAUGAUGUAUUAUUUGUUAAAAGAUCCUCUGGUUCUUGAAUAGUUGAUCAAUUACAUGAGUUUGCUACCUGGAUGUGGAUGACAACACAAGUGUAGUGUGGUGUCUAACUGUGGUGCUAGCAUGACAUGAUCAUGGUAGAUGAAUGAUCCAUGAAUAAUUGUUGCAUGACUUCCAUCAAUGAUCAAUGGAUGCAUGCAUAAAGCAACAAUACCAAAGACUAUCACACUAUCAUUUACCAUUCAAAAUGUUUCAAGAGGUAGACUUGUAGAACAACCUGUGUAUCUUGCUGUCAAGAUGUACUCUAAAGUAUUCAGCGACCAGCAAGCAUUGAGUUUGGUGGUUGUACCAGUAGGUGAGCGGUGGUGCAUUAUUACCUUCACCGUCCGCUUCCACAGAGCAUUGAGCUGGGUGGCUGCAGCAGCGACUUCGAAUCAAGGGAGCUUGGUCCGGCGACGAGCGGCGGGGAGCCUGCACCGGCGGCGACAAGGCUCCAUUGCGACCAGUACGUCCUUGCUCACGCAUUCUCGUUCUUUACAGCUACUAGGCCAGGAUCUUUUCUAGUAUUAAACUAGCCUAAGCAAGAAUACGUCUUCAACUCGAUUCGCAAGCCUGUGCACACACAUACAUGCAUCUCACUUUCUUGCGCUCAUCCAGGAGUGCUCAUCGGAGAAAUGGAGGUCAUGGCUGGGGCACUGCCAUGCGUCAUAAAAAAACUCGGUGAUAACUACUCACCGACAAGUUUAUACUACUCAAUUAACGUAUCCCAACUAAACUUUCUCCUAAACGAAGCAUUAAUUGGGUUAGUAAGCUGGCGAGAGCCGCUACGCGUCAUUCCACAUGCGAGCGGGCCCCACCAUGUGCGUCUCGUCCUCCACCUCUCACGCACCCUCUUCAACUGUCGGUGGAGCACCCUCUUCAACCUUCCCCCCGGGCAUCUGCAUCCCAUCGACCUCUGCUUCGUGCUCUUCAAUCUUCAAUCUUCUUCAUGCCCAUCCAUUCCCAAUAGGCAAUAGCUACAACCUACAAAAAGGCAGGGCGAGCACCCGCAUCCGAAGGAGCCCAAGCGGCCAUCCACAAAGAGGUAAAGAAGAUAUAUUAAUAUGAUUUCUGUCGUUAGCUUCUCUCCAAUUAACCUUACACAUUGGUCUUCCCCAGGGACAAAUCCAUGGAGAUCGUGACCGGGGCAAUUCCAAGCCUCCUGCACAAGCUCGGUGAGUUGCUAGUUGGCGAGUACAAUCUGCAAAAGGAGGUGAAGGGAGGGAUCAUCUUCCUUCAAGCUGAGCUCGAGAGCAUGCAAGGUGCCCUCGAGAAGAUCUCGAUGACACCAGCAGACAAGAUUGACGACCAGGACAAGAUCUGGGCUAGGAGAGUGAGAGAGAUGUCCUACGAUAUAGAGGACAAUAUUGACAAAUAUAUCGUGCAGUGCAAGGGGAGGAAGACGGCCGAACAGCAUAGCUUCAAGGAAGCCAUUGAUAGGACCCUCAACUGGUUCAGGCAGCCUAAGAUUCGUCGUAAGAUUGCUACAGAAAUCAGAGAGAUCAAGAGCCGUGUCAUAGAGGUGCAUGAACGGCGCCGCAGGUAUGAGGUCAGCCUUGGUGUUGAUAAGCCUGUAACUGUGGACCCUCGUUUAUUCGCUCAGUACACGGAGGUGAAAGAGCUUGUUGGAAUUGAUGAGGCAAGGGAUGAGUUAAUCAGCAAGAUUAUGAUAGAAGAGAAUGAAGUUCCCAAGAAGCAAGGCAGGAUAGUUUCAAUUGUUGGAUUUGGAGGUCUGGGAAAGACAACUCUUGCCAAUGUAGUGUACAAAAAGAUUAGAGCACAAUUUGAUUGCUAUGCUUUUGUUUCUGUUUCUCAAACUCCUGACCUGAAGAAACUGUACAAAUGCUUGCUAUAUGAUCUUGGCAAGAGCAUCAACGAAGAAACAUUGGAUGAGAGGCGACUCAUAGAAGCACUCAGAGAAUUCCUUGAAGACAAAAGGUACGAAAGCAUUCCUUUCACCAAUUUAUACAUAUGAACUUUUUUGGACUGAUAAUUUAUGCCCUCUGUUCACAGUACUAUAAGUCUAAAUAGGGUUAAUUAAAUGUUCAUGCACGUGGCACCUAUUAAAUUACAAAAUACAACCACUUAAGCUUUACCACAACAUUAUUAAGUGCAAAUAAUUUCCUCACUGGACCUCGUUUUGUUUUGACAAAAUUCUGAGUGGACUUAUUUUAUCCACAGACUUGCCAAUCCAGCUGCUCCCGAGCUAUUUUAAUUUAAUCAUUAAACCAUUAGCAGUGGUCUAGUUUGCUUAAUUUUCUUGUAGCCGGUAUAUGAACAACAUUAGAGCUUUCUUCAGUCCUUAAACCACUAUUUUUGCUAAUAACGGCAUAUGUGUAGGUAUUUUGUUGUUGUUGAUGACGUAUGGGAUAUAUCAGUUUGGAAAAUGAUUAGAUGUGCUUUGCCUGAUAAUGAUGUUGGAUAUACUAUUAUUACAACAACCCGUAUUUCUGAUGUUGCUGAACAAGCUGGGGGUGCUUACAACAUGAAACCUCUUUGUUUGAAUAACUCCCGACAACUAUUGUAUAGAAGAAUAUUUGGUAAUGGGAACAAAGACAACAAUGAAGAAGAAGAAAAAUGUCCUCAUGAGGAGCUGGCCGAAGUAUCUG